RNAcentral lists this long non-coding RNA (224 nucleotides) under Phoenix dactylifera (date palm). RNAcentral's name for it is "long non-coding RNA (PDAC_LNC006841)". Lineage: Eukaryota; Viridiplantae; Streptophyta; Magnoliopsida; Arecales; Arecaceae. The record is from RNAcentral.
GGGCAAUUCUUCGAAACGAGAUUUCCACCUAUCCGUAUCCAAUAAAGGAGCUGAAUCUAAUAUAGCACUGAUUUCUCUAAAGUUUUGGUUUAUCUCUGUAUUUUCGAAAAUGAGUUAGGCAUGUUUCUAAAGGAUCAGAAGAAAGAGAUGGGACAAGAGCAUCUUCUACAAUGGAGUCGAUCAGAUUAACUCCAUGAAUUUCAUCAUUUUCGUUGUCAUUAUCG